UACGAAGGGGGCUAGCGUUGCUCGGAAUCACUGGGCGUAAAGCGCACGUAGGCGGGUCGUUAAGUCGGGGGUGAAAUCCUGGAGCUCAACUCCAGAACUGCCUUCGAUACUGGCGGUCUUGAGUCUGGGAGAGGUGAGUGGAACUCCGAGUGUAGAGGUGAAAUUCGUAGAUAUUCGGAAGAACACCAGUGGCGAAGGCGGCUCACUGGCCCGGUACUGACGCUGAGGUGCGAAAGCGUGGGGAGCAAACAGG
RNAcentral lists this ribosomal RNA (253 nucleotides) under uncultured bacterium. RNAcentral's name for it is "partial 16S ribosomal RNA". It matches the Rfam family "Bacterial small subunit ribosomal RNA", at positions 524 to 776 of the family's 1533-position model. The record is from RNAcentral.